Molecule: long non-coding RNA, 758 nt
Organism: Entelurus aequoreus (snake pipefish)
Lineage: Eukaryota; Metazoa; Chordata; Actinopteri; Syngnathiformes; Syngnathidae
Exons: 4
Source: RefSeq, a predicted model, not a curated record
ACAUCUCCUACAGCCGCUUAAAAAACAUGCAAAAAGCAACAACAAAACUUACCGCAGAUAGGUGUAGAACUUUCGUCGUCUUUUUCGAUGAUGUUGUCCUCGAGCAAGUCUUCGGUGUGGAGAGUAUUUUGUGGGAAAAACCCCUCUUCUUUCACCGCGAGCAAGCCUUCAGCCUCCGCUGGAACGUCAUUGUUCUUCAAUGUCAACCUCCUCGACACUUUUUGGCGGGAGACCCGUUAAAGGCGUCCAACGCGCCAGAGGCGUAAAAGAAACAUCUGAACCACCACCACCGGAGUAAACACCCCGCAUUCAGAGUUAAAAGACUCCAAAGAAAAGACGUCUGGUUCGGUCGACUGAGGCUGAUAGGAUCCGUUGAUUUUAGGAGCACGGAGACUGGCACGAAAAAACCAACGACCUGAGGCAGAAGAUUUCGUCUCCCAAGUAGCGCUAAACAAAAUUCUUCUCUCACGCAACUCAUCCAGCGUCGGCUGAAACAAACAGAUAUCUCCCAUCUGGUAUCGGAAAACGUAUCCAAAAGAUCCAAUCAUUCCAUAACCCUCCAAGCACCACUUCUCACGCAAAGACUCGGUUGGAGGAAUUUGAGUACGAUUCAAAAAAAUCCUACUUUUCCGAGGAGCGUCGUAGUAAGUUUUAUCAUUUUUAUAAAUUGAAACUGGCGUUUCGCUAAUCAUGCCUACUGAAACAACAGCUUUCUCCAUCUUUUCCAUUUUCUCUUAAUGCUCGUACUAACAAAGACU